GAUGAAGAACGCAGCGAAAUGCGAUAAGUAAUGUGAAUUGCAGAAUUCAGUGAAUCAUCGAAUCUUUGAACGCACAUUGCGCCCCUUGGUAUUCCGGGGGGCAUGCCUGUUCGAGCGUCAUUUCAACCCUCAAGCUCAGCUUGGUAUUGAGUCCAUGUCAGUAAUGGCAGGCUCUAAAAUCAGUGGCGGCGCCGCUGGGUCCUGAACGUAGUAAUAUCUCUCGUUACAGGUUCUCGGUGUGCUUCUGCCAAAACCCAAAUUUUCUAUGGUUGACCUCGGAUCAGGUAGGGAUACCCGCUGAACUUAAGCAUAUCAAUAAGCGGAGGA
Molecule: unclassified non-coding RNA, 327 nt
Filed under: soil metagenome
Description: partial contains 5.8S ribosomal RNA, internal transcribed spacer 2, and large subunit ribosomal RNA
Rfam family: 5.8S ribosomal RNA (bases 1-120)
Source: RNAcentral